This 178-nucleotide microRNA precursor is filed under the name Oryza glumipatula. RNAcentral describes it as "MIR812 microRNA precursor family". It matches the Rfam family "MIR812 microRNA precursor family". Lineage: Eukaryota; Viridiplantae; Streptophyta; Magnoliopsida; Poales; Poaceae. The record is from Rfam by way of RNAcentral.
AAUAAGUGCAGUCAUGGUUUUCAGCAUCCAACUUUGACCGUUCGUCUUAUUUAAAAUUUUUUUGAAAGAAAUUAAAAAUAUAAGUCACGAGUAAAGUAUUAUUCAUGUUUUAUUAUAAAAAAUUUCAAAUAAAACGGACGAUCAAAGUUGGGCGUGGAAACUCAUGGCUGCAUUUAUU